Esox lucius (northern pike) is the source of this 2441-nucleotide long non-coding RNA. The record is from Ensembl. Lineage: Eukaryota; Metazoa; Chordata; Actinopteri; Esociformes; Esocidae.
GUGUGUGGGUGUGUGUGUGUAUAUGUGUGUAUGUGUGUGUGUGUGUCUACGCAUCUUGCAUCCUGUGUCUGUGUAUGCAGAUGCACUGACUGGUUUGUGUGUGUGUGUGUGCAGUCACUGUGAUUGUGAUUUAAAUGACAUUUCUGACUCGUGCUCAAUGUUAGUGGUAAUUUUGCAUUUACAUUUUCCCCAGAGUUUACAAUGGGAUCAUAUAUUCUACCUCUCAAUUUGUCUAAUGAGCGUUUUUUUCAUUACAUUAAAAGAACAUGGAGAGGGGGAUAGAUGGAUGGAUAUAGACAGAGAAAAAUAAAGAGAGACAAGAAGGCAGGACAGAAAGACAAGGAGAAAGACAGGACAGAGUCAAGAAGAAAGACAGGACAGAGUCAAGAAGAAAGGCAGGUCAGAGAGAUAAGACAAAAGACAGGACAGAGUCAAGAAGAAAGACAGGUCAGAGAGAUAAGACAAAAGACAGGACAGAGUCAAGAAGAAAGACAGGUCAGAGAGAUAAGACAAAAGACAGGUCAGAGUCAAGAAGAAAGACAGGUCAGAGAGAUAAGACGAAAGACUAAGCCGAGGCCCCAUGAAACCAUCAAAGCCACAGUUUCAGUCACAAUCUGUGGUGAAUCUGAGCAACAACUACUGGUAUAUGAAGGCAUGUGUGAGUAGACCUCAGAAAUCUGUGUUGCCAUUGGAGCAGCACAACAAUGACAGGUCAUGUUUUAAGUCACAUCCCACACUACGUACAGUGGUCCAGUGUGUUGCCCUGAAUAGAAAAUACAUGGUGUUACUCUAGACGCAGCCACAGUUACAGACAUGACCGUGAGCAAAUAUGUUGAUGCCUUUUUACCGUCCAAUCCACCAUAAACACACCAUUUCCAUGCCCUUUCCCUAUGUCUUCAAACAAUGUGCCAAUGUUCUCUACCUUUGGGUUACAUAUCAUGAUUUCAAGUGCCAUUUAAAAAAAAUUAAAUGUUAUUAUGUAAAAGGCAUUUUAUGCCUUUUACAUUUGAUUUUGUGAUGUUGUACAAUUUCUUCAAACAGGUACAGUGUUACAUCCUGUGUGCAGCGAUCAGGAACUUCACAACGUCGCCUUCAUAUAACCCGUUGAAUGUUGGUUUUCUUCUAUAACUCUUUGCCUUUGCCACUCUCAUACAUUUGACACACUUGACUUGAAAUGCUGGUAAGACUGAACGUCUGUGUCUAUACAAAAUGUAAUCUGAAUUGGAUUAAGUUGUUCCUGUAAUACUCUAGCACUGAAGUGAUUGCCCCCCCCGCCACCUUCACCUCACUGCCAUAGAGAGGAACCUUCAAGUCAAAGGCUACAUACUGAAUGAAUAUACUCAUUUGCUGUGCAGUAAUAUGUCAUGGAAAAGCACAAAAAUGUUUCUUUAUCUCAUUUGAAAAGGAGUGUAUCUACUGUAUAUUCUUGUAAAUAUUCAAUUUAACGGUAUCUUAUCCAUUUUGUUUUGAGGAUUCCUUUUUCAUACUUGACACAGGCCUUUCUCUGAUGUGUGGGGUGAAUGAGAUGUAAGUACAAUAAGUACAGUAUUCAAACCACCUACCUUUAAAUGCUGAGGGUAGCUGUUUUGUUUCUUCAUAGUAGAACAGCAGUCUUGACCAACUGAGCUGUAUGAAAAAAGUCUGCAGUUGAUUUGACUUAUGACUUAAGGCUGUACACAUACACACAUACACACACACAUACACUCGCAUAUACUAAGCAUUUAGGGCCGGUUUUGUGGACUCUAGCCUGGGACUAAAAGAUCAAACUCAAUAAAAGAAACGGCCCUUAAUGUGAGAGUAUACAGCAGCAGUAAGGCAAUAUGGAGACCCCUGUUAUUAUAUUCUCUAUUAUUCUAAUAAAACCUUAAGAUAUAUUCAUCUCUGUUGUAUCUUCGCACAGUGUUCAUUUUACUAAAUUGAUAUGUCAUUCUCAAAUGUGCCUGAAUAUUUUUCCUAAUCUUACAAAAGUGACCUGUGGAAUGAAUGCAUAUGGAAGACAUGGGAAGGCAGGACAAAAAGAAAGGAAGACUUGACAGAUAAGUUGAAAGACAUGACAGAGAAAUGAGAAGACAGGACAGUAAUAAUAUAGACAGGCUGGAGAGAUAGGAACCUGUGGAAGGCACAUGGUGUUUUGACUCCAGAGCAUCAGUAUUAUUGUCAUGCCUGCUUUCCCCUUUUACGGAUAUCUGGUUCUCAACGAGGCUAAAUUAAGUCCAGUGCACUGAGGCCAUGGCUAUAGUAACAUUUCCCAAAAAUGUUUUACUCUGACACUGUUUAUAAUUAGUCAAACGUAUUGAGGUUUGAUGAUUGUAAACUAUAUAUUAUUGUUUAAUUAAUUACAUUCAAUUUGAAUCUCUGAAACAACGUCAGAUCGUCGAUGUUACACUGAACAAAAUUAUAAACACAACACUUUUUGCCCCCAUUUAUCAUGAGCUGAACCC